RNAcentral lists this unclassified non-coding RNA (622 nucleotides) under Philodendron rudgeanum. RNAcentral describes it as "partial external transcribed spacer". Lineage: Eukaryota; Viridiplantae; Streptophyta; Magnoliopsida; Alismatales; Araceae. The record is from RNAcentral.
GUGUGGUAACCCGGUGCGUUGGUGGGCCCCCCGMUUUCGUGCGGCCGACCGCCAGUGCAASGGGACGAUUCGUUCAGAAAAUCCCUCCAGSAAAUCCCUCCGUGCACGAUGCGGAGGGCAAUAUUCGGUGGGUUGUAUCGCAUAGUUGGGACGUGGCAACUCGGUGACCCUACGCUAAAAUAAUAGCAUGUCGUUCUACUCUCUCCCUCCCCGCGGGAGGGCGAGAGGUGAGAAGAAGUGGACCUCUUACGGCGUCCCGUGCGGUCCUCGGCGGCGGUUGCGGUCGUAYACAAAGUGUGUGCUGGCUUGWWYYRYGCCAUCCGUCUGGCCCUCGGGACCGUUGUGCGCUUACGGAUGCGGUGAAUUAGAUGGGGUCGGGUGCGCCGCGCGGCUCCCGACCCGACGAAUGGAAGGUGCUUGUGCACGCCGCGAGCGGGCAAGCGGUGGAUCGGAAAUCGAAUGGAAGGUUUUUAUGCGCACGCCGCGAGCGGGCAAACGAUGGCUCGGAAACGGAAUGCAAGUUGUUUGCGCACGCCGUGAGCGGGCAAACGAUGAAACGGGUCGGAAAAAAAGGCGUUUACGCACGCCGCAAGCGGGCGAACGAACGGAAUGGAAUUAACGA